GUCGUACGGACGAACAGGGCUUGCUCUGUUCGUUAGUGGCGGACGGCUGAGUAACGCGUAGGUGACCUGCCCCGAAGUGGGGAAUAACUGCCCGAAAGGGUGGCUAAUACCGCAUGUGGUGAUGCGUUCAUUCGCAUCAGUAAAGCCGCAAGGCGCUUCGGGAGGGGCCUGCGUCCGAUUAGCUCGUUGGUGAGGUAACGGCUCACCAAGGCGACGAUCGGUAGGUGGUCUGAGAGGACGAUCACCCGGACUGGGACUGAGACACGGCCCAGACUCCUACGGGAGGCAGCAGUCGGGAAUUUUGCGCAAUGGGCGAAAGCCUG
This 323-nucleotide ribosomal RNA is filed under the name uncultured soil bacterium. RNAcentral's name for it is "bacterial SSU rRNA". It matches the Rfam family "Bacterial small subunit ribosomal RNA", at positions 61 to 385 of the family's 1533-position model. The record is from RNAcentral.